RNAcentral lists this long non-coding RNA (208 nucleotides) under Manihot esculenta (cassava). RNAcentral's name for it is "long non-coding RNA (MESC_LNC008535)". The record is from RNAcentral. Lineage: Eukaryota; Viridiplantae; Streptophyta; Magnoliopsida; Malpighiales; Euphorbiaceae.
GGGCCCUGGUCUUCCUGUACUCUGUGCCAGAGCCGUAGCAUGGGGCCCUGGUCUUCCUGUCUGGGGCUAAUUGGGUCAUCCAAUAUUCACCCACAUCAACAACAAAUGAUGCAAUGCGGCAUAUUCGUGAAACUAAUGCAAACAUCCUAUAACAUGAUCAUGAUGCAUGAAACAUGAUAAAAGCAUUUAAUUUCUUAGUUCAAAAGAU